ACACUCCUGCGGGAGGCAGCAGUGGGGAAUUUUGGACAAUGGGCGAAAGCCUGAUCCAGCAAUGCCGCGUGAGUGAAGAAGGCCUUCGGGUUGUAAAGCUCUUUUGUCAGGGAAGAAACGGUGAAAGCUAAUAUCUUUUGCUAAUGACGGUACCUGAAGAAUAAGCACCGGCUAACUACGUGCCAGCAGCCGCGGUAAUACGUAGGGUGCAAGCGUUAAUCGGAAUUACUGGGCGUAAAGCGUGCGCAGGCGGUUUUGUAAGUCUGAUGUGAAAUCCCCGGGCUCAACCUGGGAAUUGCAUUGGAGACUGCAAGGCUAGAAUCUGGCAGAGGGGGGUAGAAUUCCACGUGUAGCAGUGAAAUGCGUAGAUAUGUGGAGGAACACCGAUGGCGAAGGCAGCCCCCUGGGUCAAGAUUGACGCUCAUGCACGAAAGCGUGGGGAGCAAACAGGAUUAGAAACCCUGGUAGUCCC
Molecule: ribosomal RNA, 472 nt
Filed under: uncultured organism
Description: partial 16S ribosomal RNA
Rfam family: Bacterial small subunit ribosomal RNA
Source: RNAcentral